UAGGGAAUCUUCGGCAAUGGGGGGAACCCUGACCGAGCAACGCCGCGUGAGUGAAGAAGGUUUUCGGAUCGUAAAGCUCUGUUGUUAAGGAAGAACGAGUGUGAGAAUGGAAAGUUCAUACUGUGACGGUACUUAACCAGAAAGGGACGGCUAACUACGUGCAAGCAGCCGCGGUAAUACGUAGGUCCCGAGCGUUGUCCGGAUUUAUUGGGCGUAAAGCGAGCGCAGGCGGUUAGAUAAGUCUGAAGUUAAAGGCAGUGGCUCAACCAUUGUAGGCUUUGGAAACUGUUUAACUUGAGUGCAGAAGGGGAGAGUGGAAUUCCAUGUGUAGCGGUGAAAUGCGUAGAUAUAUGGAGGAACACCGGUGGCGAAAGCGGCUCUCUGGUCUGUAACUGACGCUGAGGCUCGAAAGCGUGGGGAGCGAACAGG
Molecule: ribosomal RNA, 429 nt
Filed under: Bacteroidota bacterium
Lineage: Bacteria; Pseudomonadati; Bacteroidota
Description: Bacteroidetes bacterium partial 16S ribosomal RNA
Rfam family: Bacterial small subunit ribosomal RNA
Source: RNAcentral